RNAcentral lists this ribosomal RNA (1377 nucleotides) under Triticum aestivum (bread wheat). Its description in RNAcentral is "partial small subunit ribosomal RNA". The record is from RNAcentral. Lineage: Eukaryota; Viridiplantae; Streptophyta; Magnoliopsida; Poales; Poaceae.
AUGGACUCCGGAACCGGCGAAGCAGCGUGGCGCUCGCGCGCGGUGUGCGGCACGGAGUACAGCUGGUGCCGCGCCGCGCCGGGCGGAACCGGCGCCACGCUCAUCGCGCUCCGACUCUCGCGCGGCGGCGCGGCGGCCGAAGCCGCGGUCCGCGCCCUCCAGAGCGCUCACCCCGUCCUCCGAGCCCACCUCCGCGGCCCCGCCUCCAGCCCCACGCUCGCCUUCCCCUCCUCCGCGCCGCAGCUCCGCCUCGCGCCCCAGCCAUGCGCGCUCGACUUCCACUCCCUCCUCGAGCGCGAGAUCAACCGCAACCCGUGGGCGGCCGCCGCGCCCGGGCCCGACGGUGCCCCGGUGCUCUUCGCGGCGCUCUACGAGCUCCCGCCGCCCGCGGGCGGGGCGGCGCUGUUCGUCCUGAUCCACACGGCCGUGUGCGACCGCGCGGCGUCCGAGGCGCUGCCGAGGGAGCUCCUCGCGCUGCUGGGCGGCGCGGGUGUGGGCGGCCCGGAGGUGAAGGAGGAGACGGCGGCGGUGGAGGCGGGGUUGGAGAAGAGGAUGCGGAAGAAGGACUCGCGGAAGCCGUUGUGGGCGCGCGGCGUGGACAUGGUGGGCUAUUCCAUCGACGGGCUCCGCGCGUCCACGCUGCCGUUCGAGGAGACCGGCACGGCCAGGUCGACGCAGAUGGUGCGCCUCCGGUUCAGCCGCGAGGACACGACGCGGCUGCUCCAUGCAUGCAAGGAGAACGGAGUGGGCCUUUGCUCAGCCAUGGCUGCGGCGACGAUGCUAGCUGCACGGCAAUCGAAGAAGCUGUCCAACAGCGGCCAGCAAGAAACGUACUCCGUUGCAACCCUAAUCAAUUGCUGCGAGUUUCUUGAGCCACCUUUGAAUGAUCUUACUACUCGGUUCUUCUACUCUGCUAUCACCAACACGCACAAGAUCAAUGGAGAGGAAGGGCUAUGGGUGCUGGCCAGGAGGUGCCAUGAUGCCUAUAGCAACGCGAAGAAGAACAAGAAGCACCUCACCGACAUCCGUGACCUCAACUUCCUCAUGUGCCGGGCCAUCGAGAACCCCCGGCUGACUACGGCCUCCGCACUCCGGACAGCGCUCGUGUCCGUGUUCGAGGAGUUGGCAACCUUGGACGUGUCUGAUAUGCAGAGCAAGGCUGGUGUGAAGGACUAUAUCUGCUGCGCCACCAUGCACGACAUCGGCCCGUCGAUCGGCGUGUUCGACUCUAUCAAGGAUGGCGAGUUGGAUUGGGCAUGCAUGCACCCUUCUCCUCUGCAUUCCAGGAAGCAGAUACAGGAGGUGCUUGACAAGGUGAAGAUGAUUUUACACGAAGGGAGCAACCCAAGUGAUGACAAGAAUGAAAACUGCACGUAG